UACAGAGGUGGCAAGCGUUGUUCGGAAUUACUGGGCGUAAAGGGCGCGUAGGCGGCCUUCUAAGUCAGACGUGAAAUCCCCCGGCUUAACCUGGGAACUGCGUCUGAUACUGGACGGCUUGAAUAUGGGAGAGGAACGUAGAAUUCCAGGUGUAGCGGUGAAAUGCGUAGAUAUCUGGAGGAAUACCGGUGGCGAAGGCGGCGUUCUGGACCAUUACUGACACUGAAUCGCGAAAGCUAGGGGAGCAAACGGG
This 253-nucleotide ribosomal RNA is filed under the name uncultured bacterium. RNAcentral describes it as "partial 16S ribosomal RNA". It matches the Rfam family "Bacterial small subunit ribosomal RNA", at positions 524 to 776 of the family's 1533-position model. The record is from RNAcentral.